Molecule: ribosomal RNA, 114 nt
Filed under: Pteropus alecto (black flying fox)
Lineage: Eukaryota; Metazoa; Chordata; Mammalia; Chiroptera; Pteropodidae
Source: RNAcentral
CACUACGGCCAUGCUACCCUGAACAAGCCCAAUCCCGUCUGAUCUCGGAAGCUAAGCAGGGCCUGUUUAGUACUUGGAUGGAAGACCACCUAGGAAGACCAGGUGCUGUAGGCA